Molecule: transfer RNA, 78 nt
Filed under: Candidatus Bathyarchaeota archaeon
Lineage: Archaea; Thermoproteati; Candidatus Bathyarchaeota
Description: tRNA-Gly
Rfam family: tRNA
About the family: Transfer RNA (tRNA) molecules are approximately 80 nucleotides in length. Their secondary structure includes four short double-helical elements and three loops (D, anti-codon, and T loops). Further hydrogen bonds mediate the characteristic L-shaped molecular structure. tRNAs have two regions of fundamental functional importance: the anti-codon, which is responsible for specific mRNA codon recognition, and the 3' end, to which the tRNAs corresponding amino acid is attached (by aminoacyl-tRNA synthetases). tRNAs cope with the degeneracy of the genetic code in two manners: having more than one tRNA (with a specific anti-codon) for a particular amino acid; and 'wobble' base-pairing, i.e. permitting non-standard base-pairing at the 3rd anti-codon position.
Source: RNAcentral
GCGGCCGUAGUCUAGCCUGGCCUAGGACCCCGGCCUGCCACGCCGGUGACCCGGGUUCGAAUCCCGGCGGCCGCACCA